UGAGGAAUAUUGGUCAAUGGGCGUGAGCCUGAACCAGCCAAGUAGCGUGCAGGAAGACGGCCCUAUGGGUUUUAAACUGCUUUUAUUCGGGGAUAAAGGAGUCCACGUGUGGAUUUUUGCAGGUACCGCAUGAAUACGGACCGGCUAAUUCCGUGCCAGCAGCCGCGGUAAUACGGAAGGUCCGGGCGUUAUCCGGAUUUAUUGGGUUUAAAGGGAGCGUAGGCCGCGUUUUAAGCGUGUUGUGAAAUGUAGACGCCCAACGUCUGCAUCGCAGCGCGAACUGGGACGCUUGAGUACGCGCAACGUUGGCGGAAUUCGUCGUGUAGCGGUGAAAUGCUUAGAUAUGACGAGGAACUCCGAUUGCGAAGGCAGCUGACGGGAGCGGCACUGACGCUUAAGCUCGAAGGUGCGGGUAUCAAACAGG
This 424-nucleotide ribosomal RNA is filed under the name Verrucomicrobiota bacterium. RNAcentral's name for it is "Verrucomicrobia bacterium partial 16S ribosomal RNA". It matches the Rfam family "Bacterial small subunit ribosomal RNA", at positions 355 to 776 of the family's 1533-position model. The record is from RNAcentral. Lineage: Bacteria; Pseudomonadati; Verrucomicrobiota.